This is a long non-coding RNA of Motacilla alba alba, 28085 nucleotides long. RefSeq lists it as uncharacterized. The transcript is spliced from 2 exons. The record is from RefSeq and is a predicted model, not a curated record. NCBI's taxonomy places the organism in Eukaryota, Metazoa, Chordata, Aves, Passeriformes, Motacillidae.
UGAACUGGUACCGGCCCGGGCCGGGCUGAGCUGGGCUGAGCUGAACUGGUACCGGCCCGGGCCGGGCUGGGCUGAGCUGAGCUGAGCCGGUACCGGCCCGGGCUGGGCUGGGCUGGGCUGAGCUAAGCUGAGCCGGUACCGGCCCGGGCCGGGCCAUGUGUGCCUGCAGAGCCCCCGCUGUCCGGAGCAGCCAGCCCGGCGCGAUCCCUCGCUGCAGGAAAAGCGCCCUGGAGAGAAAAGGGUGGAUUCCUGCUGCACGCGGGGAGGGAGCGGCCUUGGGAGCAGAGCUGAGCAAAGCCAUUUGCUGCACUGUUACAUCUAAGGGGUUCUCCUCUCUCCUCGGGAAAAAAAAAGUUUCCAAGAAAUCCUCGCUGCUGCUAUCUGUAAAUGGUGGUUUAUGGAGAGGAGGGAAAACGCAGGACGGGCAGUAAAUCAGCCACUAAGUGAUCCAGAGUCCAUUACCAAAUGUUUUUCAUUACAUGUAUGGCUUCACUAAUUUCUGCAAUGCGUUGUAGGCUAUUUCUGGAAGCUUUAAAAAUGCAUGAUGCUUCUGCAUUUUAAUACUUAACAGUAUGGUUAUUUCAGUUUAAUAAGGAAAAAAAAAAAGGGGGGGGGGGGAAUCUGCUUGACUGGAGUUGGCUUUCAUGCCACAAAAGGACCAAGCCAGUGCAAAAGCGUCCAAGCAGGAACCCUAUUUAAGUCCAGCAUGAAGAAAACCUUUCCAACCUCUUUCACCAAUUAGGAUAAUCGGGGUCUUUUGAUGUUAAAAUCCCCAGGAAUCAUAUGGAAAUCAUAAAAAGCACAGUACUUAAAACAGAGUCAGAAUGCAGAUAAAAUCAUUUUCCCUUCUUAACAUUUGGGAUUGCUCUCGGACAGGGAUGGUGAGGGAGGCUGUCCCUGAAAGCAGCCAAUCAUAAAGCAACGGAGCACCUGGGAGGCGAGGCUGGGAUGCAGCUGGAGCUGGGCCGGGCAGGCUCAGCCCCAGGCCCUGGAUGGGAACUGCUCCCAGCCAAGGGAAAGGAGACUGAGCAAGGACACACGGUGAUCCAGAGGGCAGCCUCUGGAAUCCCAGCCCCUGGAUGGCCUGGUGGGCUUGUACAGCCUUCCCUGGGGGAAUAGCAUCCUCCAUGACCAUAAACCAGGCUAAGGGAAUUGAAAUAACAGGCUUGAAUCUGUGCAAGCAAUUAUCUUUAGGUGAAAAGUACUUCAGCCUAGCAUUGCUGCUUUAUAUUGGACUGUUUCUGAGGCAUCCAAAUUUCGCCGAGUGUCUUGCUUCCAAGGAAUCUCAGGGCAAGAAUUCUGUUUGCCUUGACGAUUUAAAAAAAAGACCACGGGCAGGAAAACAAGGGAUGUUUUGCUGGAUGCAAUUUUGCAACACUAGAGGGAUGUUUUAUUCUCUUCAAGUCCAAUCCUGAUCAACAUAUUUUGCUGUGAAAUCUGACACACAGCAACGAACCUCUGUCAAAGGCACGUACAUAUUGAGAGAGACAGAGAAGCCGAUUUUACAAUAUUCUCCCAGACCGUAACAUCGUCUUGUCUGGAGCUGGUUACAUACCACUGCUGGAUUUGUGUGUGAUGUUGGUCAAAGCAAAGAGGCAAAGGGACAAGGAGGUGACGAGAGCGGGCAGAGGUGGGGACACCCAGCUCAAGAACCUUAAAUUGGCAUUCGAGUAAACUGAAAAGUAAGCAAAACUGUCCGUGUUUAUACAAGCAACUUGACUGUACUCUAAGAGAGGACAAGGGUAUGAAACUAUGUCCUUAUAAAGUAACGCUCAUCUUUUACUUAUCUAACAAAAAGAAACACAGGAGAGAGGUCAGAGGCCGCUGAAGGCAAAAAAACCCCAAGUGUUAAGGCCAGAGAAAUGGAAAACAAAGUUUCACAAAGACAGGAAUAUUUGCGGAUGGGGCAGACAGAAAACCCCCUUAAACACAGCUUGUUUUUCUAUUAAAAUAACCACGGAAUAUUGUUGUCAGUGGCAUGCACACCUCUGUGAGAACCUGAUAUUUAAACUGUCAGUUUGACAAGAAAUAAAAAUAACAGUAAAAAAAAGAGUAGCAUUACAGUUCUGAUGCAUCUGUAAAAAGGCAAUUGGUAUUAGUGUUAAAUAUGAAUGUGAAAUCAGCCUUCUAGCUAAUCAUCACAAAUUUCAGUUGUGUCAUGAAAUUCUCAUACAGAUUUUGAAUUUACUUUUAUGUCUUGGAGUAAUACCAAAACCGUAAUUAAUAUUAAUAACAACUUCCAUAAUAUCACCGUGCCUGAAUUGCUUGAUAUUCCUAGUAUUUGUAGGAAACAAGCCACGCAGUUCCUGGCACAAAUACUAUUCCUUAUUAGUUUUGCAGCUGAAUAAUAUUCAGCCUGUAACAGAAUCCUCCUAGGACUGAAAAGUACUCUUGUGCACACGGAUACACGCACAAAAACAACAACUGAAAGCUAAAAGCAAACUUGCCGAGAACUUCUGGGUCAGCUUUUGACAUCACCCAUAGGAAUGAAAUCAGACACCGACCAAUCCGGCACCAUGAGGCUGGCAGCACAAAAUAAACAAAAGCCGGGCCCAGGGCUCCACAAUGAGGAAGGGAAGUGGAAGAGACUAUUGUUCCGAGCGCUUUUAAAUGAUGGUGCUUUGUUUAUUUCUCCGGACAAUGCCUGAACUGAAUCUUUAAAAAGGGAAAGGAGCCUGUCCGCCCUGACCCGCGGGGUCUGUUAGAGCAGAGCGUGGGGGUUCUUUCCCCGGCAUGGGGGGUUCUCUCCCUGUCAUGGGAUUUUUCCCCUGUCCUGGGGUUCUCUCCCUGUCACGGGCUCCUCUUCCUGUCGUGGGCUCCUCUCCCUGUCGUGGGGUUUUUCCCUGUUGUGGGGUUCUUUCCUCGGCAUGGGGGGUUCUCUCCCUGUCGUGGGGUUCUCUCCCUGCGGUGGGCUCCUCUCCCUGCGGUGGGCUCUCCCCUGUCGUGGGGUUUUUCUCUGCGGGGGGCUCCUGUCCCUGCGGUGGGCUCUCCCCUGUCGUGGGCUCCUCUCCCUGCGGUGGGCUCUCCCCUGUCGUGGGAUUUUUCUCUGCGGUGGGCUCCUGUCCCUGCGGUGGGCUCUCCCCUGUCGUGGGCUCCUGUCCCUGCGGUGGGCUCUCCCCUGUCGUGGGCUCCUGUCCCUGCGGUGGGCUCUCCCCUGCGCUGUGCGAGCCCCCCUGUCCCGGUGCGGGGGAAGGCAGCGCUGUGCCUCCAUCCCCACCGAGCCCCGGCUCUGACACUCGCUGCCAGCCUUUCUGAAAAGCUGGCCAGGCUGCGUGCUAAGCUCUUUUCAAAAUUUGACCCUUAUUUAGGAGCCUGCCAGGAAGCCGAGGUCUUCAGAAGCCUGGCAGCGAGCGCGGAUGGAGAGCGCGUCGGGAGCCGCCCGGGGCGGGCGAUCCUCCCGGGGAAAAGCGACGCAGAGAAGGCUCUGCUGCUCCCUCGGCUCCGAGCAGCGCUGAACCUGCCCGAGCUGAGCCCCUGCAUGAGCCCACGGGGCAUUAUUCCCACGGGCGGCCCGGGGAGGACAAUGGCCCGUCCCACAGCCCGUGGAUGAUUCACUGCCGGGACACUCGAGCCUGAACUCCACAGGUCCAGCGUUCGGCCCACAGCUCACUCAGAGCUCAGUGGCGAGGGGUUUUUUCCAAAGUUCAGGUCAGCUGAACCAAGCUGGCUGAAUGACUUCAAUCCUCUCAGUGCUUCUCCAAGGAAAAAAGGGAAAAAACCCAAAGCAAGGUGUGUCUGCAGCUCGGAGAGAGCCUGCUGCCCCUUCGCCAUUCCUCAGCACGCCGCGCUGACAGGUGUACAGGGACAAGGACGUGCGUUCCAGAGGGAGAAGAUAAACCCGGACCCUGGCGUUGUACAGCUAAAGGGUAUCAGUCAUUCUUACAUCUUGAAUAAAGCAGACCUUUUUCUACUCUUGCCAAGAAAAUUAGUCCUAAGGUGCACACAAAUAAUUACAUAUUGUGGAACAGUAAAUUAUUACAAAUGCCACAGAAUUCAAGCAGCCCCAAGUCUGGGCCAGAUUUUCAAAUGUUUUGCAGAUGUUUAUGGUUUGCUGCGAAACUUUUGUCAAGUUACCCACACAACACAGCAUUUACUGAGGGAUUUUGGCACACGGUAAUUCAUUUUCUUUGCACAGGUGUUGCAUUCCAGAAAUAUUUUGUCUUCUUAUAGAAGACUGCUGGAAUUCUACUUUAAAAAAAAUCAUCUUGAAAGAAACCAGAUCCUCUCAUCUGGGAGAGGAAAAAAAAAAAAGCCCCCCAAAAUCAGUUAAUUAGUUAAUUUGCCUUUUCUUUCUUUUCAGGUAAAGAAAACCUCUGUAACAGGUAAAAAUACAUUCAAAAUAUGUUGCAGAUGCCUGGUAUUUCUGCAAGACUCACCAACUGGGAGAGCACAGGGUGAUUAAGAGAUUCUGGAGUACCAGGUAGAGUGCCAGGGGUUAAUUUCACCUCCCUGGAGCUCCCAGCGGGGAUUGCUGGGGUUUGCCAUCACCGGAGCACAGCAGAGAGCCAGGCAGGAGGCUCUGCCCCGCCAGGCACAGGGGCACAGGGGCAGGGCAGCACAGCACAGCAGCAGCAUCCCCAGUGCCCCCGCCACCUCUCCCCCUCUGCCCCACCACAAAGGCACCACCCGCACCCUUUUGUCCCCAGCUUUUAUUCCACACGGCGUGGGGCAGGAAGCAAAACACAAAACGGGGCUCUGCAGCACUUUUGGACCUUUCCCUGACUGAAAGGUUGCCUGGAGGCGAAGUGAAAUGAAACCCUUGGGACUGAACAACUUUGCCUUUUAAGCAUAUGGAAAUUAAACAUUAAGCCUAAAAAAAUUUCCAGGAGCAGAUAUGAAUCCAGAUAUAUUAGUGCUUUGUAGAUAUGGAAAAAUACAACCAGCUAUCUUCAACUUCCUAGACGCGCAAGCCACUAAGUUUUCCUUCAGGGUAGGAAAGCAAAGAUGAAAAUGCCAAAGGACUGUUAACCUUUAGAGACACAUUUUAAGAGAUAACAUGACUGAACUCAGAUAAAUCGGAAUUAAAUUUAAUCAACCUCCCACUCCUUAGCUACACUAUCAGAAGAGAAAAAUCUACAAUUAGGGAAGAAACAGAAGGAAAUUCAGACAUCUUAAACUGAGCAAGCUUCCAUCUCUGCUGUGCAACUUCCUGAUGAUACUAAAUAUUGCAAUUCCCAUGUGCAGUAUUACAGACUUGCUGUCUUAACAGUCCUCUUAUGAGUAAUCAGUGGAAGGGAACAUUUAAAUAAUGUUUUGGAGUGCAUAUUGUCUAGAUUUGGUUGUUGUUCUCUCAUUUAGAGCAAAAUGAGUCUAAAUUUACAAUUUAAAUACUUUGCGUCAAAUCCUUAAACCACCCUUCUCUCCUUCUGUGAAUGGAGCUGCUGACAUUUUUGUGCUCCACUACAGCACCUAGGAAUAGAUAAUCCUUUAAUCUUUUGCUCUCUGACUCCACCCACAAGCCCCUGGCACUAAUUUCAGAGUACAGACUGGGAUGUUUCCAGUGAGCCGAGCAUUAGAGUAAGAUGGACUGUCACAGCCAGGAACGUGUGGCCAGAAAGUGCUGCCACGAAAUCAGGUGUGAAGGUACCUACAACAGGAGCCUUGGUUUCUAAGGGGUGGAUGAGGAGUGUUCCAGCAUGAACAUUAACGCCUGUAUUUAAAGAAGUGUAAAAGAAGUUUGAAUAUAUAUUAUUAAAAUACUGACCCUCCUAUCCACUGCAUUUUUUUUGUUUUUCCAAAUUAAACUAUUAAGUUAUGAUAACCUACAACACUUCUAUCUUAUCCUAAACUUAUUUUUUAAAAAAUCCACAACACACAUGUCACUGCUCACUCUUAAUUUGUCUGGAGAAAGCCAGGCCACUGAGUGGACACCUUUCACUGCCUAGGCAUCUAAAACAGCUCAUUGAAGCUUUGCCCUGGGCUUUUUCUUCAACAGUAUUUUUUUCUGCAAGUUACAGCAACAGCUCUCCUAAUUUUCAGGUAGUUCGGUUUAUAAUUAGUUCACUGUAAGUCAGGAAAACAAUUAGAAAAGAAGGAAAGUUUAUUUUCCUCUUUGCAUUCAUGAAUAAAAUUGAGAUGUGCAAUUAUAGACUACAUAAGUGGCUCACAAAUUUUGAGGCACUUGGUGUUCAGAACCAAGGGGCUCAAUGCCGUAGCUGUAGAUGCUAGCUUGGUGUACAGAUCAGCUUUAAAAGCACAACAUAUUUCAGGAAAAAUUUCUGCCUUGUAUUCUGUAACAUCAAACAUAAGACCACUGAAGCAGUCUUGAAACCUCACUCUUGAGUAUUUCAAUUGAAUUCAAAUUACUAUGAAUGAAUCACAUGAGACUAAAAGAUCUAUUAUUUCUACCAAGAAAUAUGAAUCACUGUUUUCUAGCAAAAGGAGAGUGUAAAAAUGUAGAAUGUGAGUAAAUGUCCAUAAGCAGUGCGCGUGUGCCUAGAGAAACCCAACUGUGUAGAACAAACAGCUCUGGCUAGCAAAUUAUAUUGACCAAUAAAACUGAGCCUUUGUUUAGAAAGUAACUGGAAAGCAAAAAUGCAAAACAAGAUUACACUUAAUUAUUUAAAUCAAAGCACUCUGCUUGUUGAUUUAAAUUGUGAUUAAAAUCAGGGAUUUAAAUUAAUCCACUCUGGAUUGCAUAAGCACCACCUAAGUAAGAGGGAGCAGUAGCUGCAUCACCCAAGUCAUUCAGGAAGAGAACUGUGGUGGAGCACAAAGGAGGCGGAGGAAGCUCAUUCAUGGACAUCCCUCUGCUGCCCAAACUCUCCCAUUCUCCCCACAGAGAGAGAGAGCAAAUGUGUGAGUGGGAGCAGUGUGGCCAGGAGCGUGCACGUGUGAAAACGUGCACGGGUACUACGAGGUAAAAUAAUGGUGGUAAUUCUUCAUUAAAAGCAGGAUGUAUCUCUCACACAAAACAGAGCAAUUACCCACGCAUUCCAAUUACUCUUUCUGGGUUUAGCACUGAGGUCCCUCGGACAGUCCAUGCUGUCCAGCAGCAGGAGAAGCUCACUCCCUGUCUGCCUGAUGCUGACGUUUAGUCAGUGUCAGCCCAACAGCAGCCAGUACUAAAUGCUGUACUGAAAAGGCUUUAGCUCUGCACUCAGAUACCCACACCCAACCCCUCUUCCAGCUUCUACCAAACCCUGGACUCAACAUUUCUUCCUGGACAGCAGGGAGGUGAACAGACAAUCAACAGUACAACUGAGUGAAAAGGGAGAUCUGCUGCAACUUCACCACAUGUCCAAGGUGAUCAAAACACCAACAUAACCACAAAGGAGCAUGAACUCAGGCACUUGACAAUGCAACCUACAGCACAUUUACUCCAAGGACACUUUAAUAUCUUGUAUGAGAACAUCCUCUCAAAUAAUAUGAUUUAGUUUUCAGCCAAGGUCCAAUUACAACUAAAUUAAAGCAGCUAAGCCUUUCUUCUUUCUGCUUCGCAGCUCGAUUUUGAAGGACAAACUACUCUGGUUGAGCCUACUUCUAAGGAACUACUUUUCUUCUUUGAUUUUACAAGAAAGUGUUUUACAAUCCAGAGAGGAUGAGUCAUCAGAAAAUCCUUGUCUCGUUGCCAAAAACCUGCCCCUCUUCAUUAUGAACAUAAAGAUAAAAGCUCUUACAGUACAUUAGCUGGCAUACGCCUACACAGACAGUACAAAUAAAUUAAUUGUGCCUAGCCUCAAACAUCCAGAGAGGUGUAGUAGGAGCUCGGUCCAUCUUGUUUCAUUAACAAAUUAAACUGUAAUAGAGCAUCAACAAGUCCUCUUAUGUACAUAAGCUUGGCUAUUGUAUAGAAAGGUUUUGCAGGUAUCAGGAAUCCUUACAAACAGACAUGGCAACUCUUCAGCGAUUCCCAUUAGCUUGCAUGGACUACAUAAACACCAGCAAAAUUGUAUAUGCUGGAAAAAACUCAUUAAAGCUGGAGUAAGAAUAUGGGAUGUUGGUCUAUUCAGAAACUGCACAGGAUUCUGGAACCCAACACUGAGGUAGUGGUGUUUAUUAAAAAGGGAAUUUUGAGUAUGACACUAUUGCACACAGGCAAAAUGUACCAAUUGUCCUGCAUCUGACAAGAAUGGCAAGUGUAUUUGGAAGUGUGAGCUGGACUGUGUCCACUCUGCUGCAUUCAGGUUUAUAAUUCAGAAUAUGAAAAUCUGCACCACCUGCAAACAUCAGGGUUAUUUCAUAAAAAUAUUCACACGGGUGUAUUGUGAAGCUCAGACAAUGAGGAAACGGAUCCAAAGGGAAGCCACUGGGUAAAGCACUGUACGUGGACCAGGGGCCAGAAUUACUGGAGAUAAUCAACAUUUACCAUCAAACUCCUGCUACAGAUGAACUGUUUUCCUUCUGGAAUGCUCACAAUCUUUAGCAUGAGAAAGUUAUACACAACCAACUUGAAAAACAAGUUUAACUCUACUUAGCCACAAGCUAAGAUUACACCCUCAAACACACCUUUCUAAGAUUUCUUAUGAGAGGUUUGUUUGUGCAAUACAGUUAAGGGCAAUUUGUUAAAAUUGCUCUGUGAUUUUCUUUAUCCUUUAACUGCAUAAUUUAAGCAACCUGCAUUUUAUAAGUUCAAAGAAAUUUUUUUUGUAAUUACCUAUUCCUGCUUUUACCUCCUGAAAAUAGAAAAGCUGUGGAGAGAAAAUACAGAAAAAAAGAAUGGCUGAGAGAAGUUGAGCUCAAUCUAGCACAGAAAACAACUUUUUAAUUAAUGAGAGCAGAAAGUGAUUAACACAAAGCACGAGGGCUCAAAAAUACCUGCAGAGUGUGCUGCUGCUGCUCUGCCUCUGUCCCCAGGGCUGGGAAAAGCCAGAGAGAAAGGCAAGGCACAGCAGUGCUGGUAGCCCAAGGGCAGCACCUGCCUGAAGCCCCAGUGAUCCCCCCCAGAGAAUUUAACCCCCUGUGUGCUUUGGCCAGGCAGUUGUUAAGGUCCCAGCCGGGGCCCAGCAGGGCACAGCCAUGGCUGUGACAUUCUGGACAGCUCUCAGCCUGGCUGCUUCCAGCUUCAUCCCUCCUUGAGCUCCAUGUCAGCCAGGGACAUUUAAACCAGGGACAGCUUCCCUUCUCCUCCUGGCUGAGGGAAGCACACUGCUGCUACCUGAUGUUAGAAGCUCUAAGGAGGUGUGGCACAGGUGGACACAGCCUCAGCAGCUCCCAGACAAGCUCCAAACGCCAUCUGCAGAGGCCAGAGCUUUUCCUGAGGUGUGCCCGGAGGCGCGGGCGCACACCUUGCAGCAGGCCGCGGCUCCCGGCUCCCACUGCACACGCGCUUUGGUUUUUUCCAGAGAUCAGUUCUGACAGGCACCAAGGCCAGUGCAGACACACUGGCCCAGACUCGUGACAUCACCUGAUUAACAAACGCAAGGAAGGUUUGGCAGCUCUGGCCAGGGGCAGCCAGCCCGUGGGAGAGCGGCAGGCAGUGCAGUCCAGCUCGGUGCCCCGUGCACUGCUGCCAGCGAUAAACAGCUGCUCCCCAGCCCCCCGUAACCAUCUCCUCACAGGGCCUCGUCUGCAAGCCCAGGGGCCCCCCAAAGCAGCCGCCAGGCCUUGCUGUCAGAGCUCCCACUCCUGGCCCCGGCCAGGGGGACACAAGGGGUGCUGAGGAUGCCAUCGGGACCUCGCGAUGGCAGUGCCACAGCAGGGAGGUGACAGAGAGCCCGUGACUGUGCCUCGCCGAACAGAGCCCAGACCCUGCCCCAGCACCACAGGGGAGCCUCACCGAGCACCCUGCGCCCCACCAGAGCACAGCCCUCAAAAAUGAGGCCACUGUAGGUCCUUUUCUCUUCCCAUUCCUUUAGGAACACCGCCUGGUUUCUGCGGAAUGAUACCAGCACCUAAUUAGCGCUAUGGGUUAAUCACCUCGCCCCAGGAGUUUCCCUCUGCCCCAUGAAUAAAGGAAGGCAGCCCAGGUUCCCGUUAUCCAGCUAGCAGCACGGGCUCCAAUAAAGCUCCAUCCUCAGCCAGAGCCAGCCACAGCCAGCACACAGAUCCAUAAUGGCUGAUGCAGAACUGGUGAUAUCCUCUCUUCUGGGGGGUUAAUACUUGCCCUGGGGGAUAAUUGUGCAGGACUUGAGAUGAGAGAUUCCCAUAAAAGGCAGUAAGAGUCACCCAGCUCAAACCACACAUAACUCAAGCUAGUUUACCCCUUUGCAUUAUUUAAAUGUCUCUCUUCAAUGUGAACGCAUCAAUUUAAAGGCACAGGGCUGCCAGCGCUCGGGGCAGGCAGUUCUCCUCUGGCCACCGAAUGUGUCUGCUCAGGAUGUAAAUCUGCACGCACUUCAGCGGGGUGCCUCCCCUGGGCCUCCUGGCUGUCGGGGAGCAGGACAGGACCCUGCCAUGCCGGCCGCUGCUCCCAGGGAAGGCCAGCAGCAGGACGGCUGUCCUGGCGCCAGGCAGGGCGGCUGAGCCCCCCGAGCUGCUGCAGACACCCAAACCCCACACAGGGGCAUCCCAAUCCACGGCAGCUGGCAGCUCUCCGGGCCCCAGGAGAGCUCCGGGACACUCCCGGAGGGGACACAGAGGAGGAAGAGAAGCUCCUGGCCCUCCCACUCUCCUUUCCUCUUCCUGGCUCGUCCUUGCAAGAGCUUCUGCUAAAUCAAAACUUACCCCAGUCCAUGCAGGUAACCGGAGACUUUUCCCAAUCACUUACAGCUUGGCCUUCCAUCUUAAGAUUACAGUUCUUUUUUCCCCCAGGUUUCUAUCUGCACAAAGACUGCCACAAGGUUCAAGUUACAGCAAUUAAUGAAAUUUAACUACAUUAGUAGGGAGAGAGCCUUUUUAGGAACAAUUUUGGUUUUAAUGUUAAAAAAAAUGCAGCAAUAAGAGUGAGGUAGAAUAUUUUAAUUUGAUUGCCUGUUUCUUUCUCUGGCUACACGUAUGAACUUGUUUCCUGGUCAAGGGGAAUUUUUGCAGGUAGAAAAAAAUAAUUCUGUCAUCCACUCAGUCCUUGAGUGUCUUGUUUUCACAAGACAGAAAGGUUUUGUCAGUCAGGUUACCUAGGAGUGAAAGUUAUGUCUCAUAAUCCAUAAUUCUAUUGCCCAUUACACACCAUCUGGUGACACAGUCAAAGAUAAUCUGAUUCUUGUCUUUCAAAAACAUCACAUAGCUCUAUUGUAAGUUGCAUGCAACAUGAUAAAUGGCUUAUUUAAAUAUGUCUUUUAAAAAUAUCACAUAGCUCUAUUGUAAGGUGCAUGCAACAUGAUAAAUGACUUAUUUAAAUAUGCUAUUUCUGUGCAGUUUACAAUUUCAUGGUCACUCUCAGCUAACAUGAAAGCAGCUUUGAACGGGGUUUUUAUUGACUGGCAUUUCAAGCAUCUGAAUCCUUAACUGAGGUUUUUUACAUAUUUACAAUUACACCUAAAGCUGUAUGAAUAAACAGCCAACAUCCAGCCAACCUUUGAGAAGCUUUGAUUGGAAUUGAAAGCUUUGCAUCUAUGAUGGAACAAAUAUCACGACACUGCUGUCCCCUGUCUUAAAAGCAGCAAUGCCUUUUCACAGUGUCUUCACCAGGAGGAGCCUGAUAAGAUUUAGUUCCAGACUACUCAGACUGAUGCAGGAGUUCUCAAGUAUUUCCACAGAUUCUGGGAGUCUGCCCAGAAAAAGGUCCUUGCAAGGUAACCGUCCACCAAUACAUCUGCAGGUUUGCAGCAGGUUUGCUUUUGCCACUUUAUUUCCAGUCUCCAGAGUAGUUAAGUGAGCUGCCAAAAGUUGAAUCCUCACAAAAUAAAUAAAAAAAAAAAAAAAGAGAAUCAAUCAUGCUGGGCAGAAGAAAGCUCUUACACAACUAACCUGGUGAAAGGAAAUAGGCCAUUUGCUGUUGCUCAACUCCUCUGCCAAACUAUUUCAGUGGCCCUUGCAUUCUCCAAGGCCAAACCUUCAAACAACAAUCUCAUCCCCUUCUGAUGCACAAGACACACCCAAGACAUUUUCAGGAGGGGUGGAAAAGUAGUAAAAGAAGAUUUCUGUGAUUUGCAGUCAGGUUCUUCUGGGAAGAUUACAUAUUUCUAGGAGACUGUGAUGUACACAUGCAUCUGUGCCUCUGAUACAAUCACAUAAUCACCAUUCAGAUCUGAAGAGCAAUUUUUUCCAUGCAGAUUUUUAUUACUUUCUCUUCCUGGAAUAAUUAACCACUUUCGGAUUUUUUUUAACAUAGGAGAAGACUUCAUUCUCAACUGGCUCUUCAAUCACAACUCUGAAUAAUUCCCAUUUUCCUUGCAGGCUGUCAGGCUGCUGUGCCUGGCUGCUGUGCCAUUUGCACUGGUAGGUUUUGUUCACAGCAGAGCCUCUGGGCAGAGCACAAGCCUACAAUAAUCUCAUUUAUUGAUCCACCUGCACCACUCACCAGGAUUUUCCAGAGUCUCAGGCUUCCUUUGGAGAAGAGGAAGGCAGCAGUGCUCCACUGACAGCCAGUUCCUGGCAGAGCUCCCUGUGGGGCCCAGCUGCUGGGAUGCUCCAGGGGAGGCAGGGAGCAUUCCCCAAACGUGGCAGGAUGGGGUGGCACAGGCACAGGUGUCACCCCAGGUGAGAGGUGACAGCUGUUCCACGUCACUGCUCCUCUGCCCCACGCACCUGCAGAGCCCUGAAAGCACCAGAGCUCAGCCACGGAGCCCGGGAAGCUCGUCCCACUCCCUCUGCCCCCCAGAUCCCAUCCCUGCUCCCUCUGCCCAGCCCGUCCGGCUGCCCUUGCCUGUCAGGUACAUUCUGCUACUAGGAGGGAUUUGGAUAAAGCAGUUAAGUAUCUGGCAAGCAUUUUCUUCAAUGAAGACAUGCUCGGAGCUAGGCAAUCAUAUUUUUAACUGUGCUGCCUGCCAGAAAAGUGCACAAACUUCCAAUAGCAAAGAAAUGAGGUCAUUUUGGUCAUCUGCCAAAAUCAGCACAUUUCCUCUUUUGGUUCUGGAUGCUGCACUUCCAUACUCCACAGCGUGUGACAAGCUGUGAGCGGGAGGUGUAGUCUCUCAGGAAAAAAAAAUGAAAGUAAAUUGGUGGAUGUUAGGUUUUUUCUCUUAAAAAAAAAAAAAAAAUAGAGAGAGAGGGGAAGGAAAAAAGGGGGAAAAAAAAAUCAUGAAGUGUCCUGAUGUCACAUGACUUCCUCCCAAAGAUCUAUUUAAUUGGAAUCUGGUAUAACCUUCCUAAGAAGAUGUCAAUACCUUGUCCUGAUGUUGCAGCAGUGUAAAGCCUCAUCCUGUUAAGGAAUUCGAAAGGCUUACAGCAGGGAUGCAGCUUUUGCUUAGAAGGCUGGACUGGAAUUGAGCAGAUCAGGAUUAAACCCUGAUUUUGCCACAAGUUCCUGUGGGGCUUUGAGCAAGACUCCUAAAUUGCUUUGCCUUGAGAUCCUAUCUUGAUCCUGGUCUUUGUCUUUAAAAACUAAGUUUUCCUGAGCUGGGAAUAUCUCUUUGCAGCACAGCAGGCUCUGGAACAGUGGAUUUUGGAUGCUCAUUUGGGCCUCUUAAUGCUAAUGCAACACAAACCCAAAUGACAGUAGUAGCAGUAAUAAUAAUAAUAAUAAUAAUUAUCUCUCGGUCUUUAUUUUCAAGUUAAUGUCUGCCAAAAAUGUUAGAGGAGUUUCUCAUUGUGGCAACUACUGUAUUUAUGGGCAUAAUUUACAAGCAGCUCAUCUGAAUAAUUUGAAUUUUUUAUUAAGAUUAUUUUCUCAUUUUCCAUUGAGAAGCCUUCUUAGAUACUGACUCACUUUCAGCCUCGUAGGGAAAAGUGCCAAGCAUUUGUUUUUCUUCUGUCUGCAGUAGUUAUUUGACUCCUGCAUUAAACUCAGCAAAGCCAAAACCGAAUAGGAACAAUCUUAAUUUAAUUAUUAAAUAUAUUUCAAGCUUCGCUGUGAUUUUAAAAAAGCACUUUCAUGUGGGGUGGUGGAAAUGUGCCAGGGAAAUCUAAAGGAACGAUGUAAUCCUCUGUCCCUACCCCUCCUUUCUUCCAGCCUCUCUCUAAGGCAGGAUAGGUGAACCCAAACCAAGCGGAGUCAGGGUGAGACAGUUUCGCUUUAGGUUUGCUUGGCAGAAAGUUACCAGGGCAUCCUGCCAAGCCUGCCACUUUUGAGAUAAAUAUGACUUUCUUUCAGGGCAGUUUUAUGAGGGGCACAGCAAGAGGCUCAUAUACUCUGGCGAUUCACUUGCAGAUUGAGCUAUGCAGCAGCUGCCGCUGCUCCAUUAUAAACAACAGCUCGCUCUGAAGUUCUCUUCACAAGUUUACAAAAGGGACAGUGUAUUUAUCUGACGUCUGUUACAGUGCUGGGCAGAUACACAGAUGGCCUUUGACUCUCACCUUCUGCAUCACACCCAGCCAAACCCCGGCCCACAGAAAGGGUUCGCCUGUAAAUUUCCCUGCUCCCUUCAUCUGCCUGACAAUCCCAGCCAGCUUACUUUCCUUGGGAGGGUCAGACUGGCAGAUGAACUACGGGGAAGAGAGGAAACAUGUUAAGUAUGAAAACAUUCUCCUAAGCCCUCACAGGAAAAGGAUGUAGCUAACAAUAAAAGAGAACCACGCGUUUCUCUGCCAAAUUUUAUCGUACAAGAUUAUGCGUUUCCAAAACUUACAUUUAUACCACUCAAAUUUCAGUCAUGUUACAUCCACAGGAGGCACAUUCCAAAGUGCUCUUCCUACGCUGCCCAUAGUCGGUUCUGGAGGUUCCUUUCGAGGUCAGCACGGGCCCAUGGAUCACCACAGGAUCCUCCACGGAGGGUAACUGGAGUGUAACUCCCACCAGAGUGCUGGCAGCUGCAAAGUGCAGAGCUCCACCACGGCCAGAGCAUCGAGUGAUGCCCCAGGGAACACCUCCAGGAGCCACAGGGCUCGCAGGGACUGCUUGAAGCAAGCUCCCUUGCCCAGGUCCUCACCCUGUGCUGAUGGCUUGGCCUCAUGCUGGGCACAAGCACCCUUUGCUGGGCAACUGGGAGGAUAAUAACUUAAAGUUUGUCCUUCCUGCUCUGGAGUCCCCUGCGCUUCUUCAGUUUUGCACAGCUGGAACAGUAAAGCCAAGGAGCUGACAGAAGUGUGCUCUGGGCAUGGCUUUGAACAGCUUGCCUUUUCCUGGCGCAGUGACCACAUCAUCCGCAGUUUCUCUGAAAAUCUCCAGCUCUGACUGUCCUGGCCGAGUUUCAUGGCUUUUUGUACCUUUUCAGGGAGCAACCAGAAUGAGCUUUUUGAUGGGCCAUCCCCAGCCCAAGCAUUACUCCCAGAAACACCAGUCAGCACAGACCCACUGACCUUUGUUUGGCUCCCCCAGUCCCAGCUGGGCAGCUGACUGUGCUCGCUCCUCACCUUGUUCACCUGUGGACCAGUCUGCCAGACAGGCAGCACAAGCGGGUUUGGCUGCACGCAGGCUGCUGGACAGACUUCUGCAAGCAGCCCCUGGUUCCCAUUCACUGCCUGACCAGUGGAGUGAAUUCCCAGGCCAACACCUGCACUCAAUUCUACCAACACAAAACCAAAAAGAAAAGUUGCUGGUGUGGGUCGUUCUCAGAAGGGAUCCAGGGCUCUGUAAGUUGCCUUCUUCUCAUGGAUCUGGAAUCACUGCACAUGAUGAAAGCAGUCUAUUAACAGUCCAUCAUAAAACAGUCUCUGAGAUGUUAUGUCCUGAAUUAUGUGUAUGAUUGUUCGGCCUGUUUGGUGACUUAGUGCAGUGGGAAAUCUAAAUCACUGCUGUUACACCUCCAACUAAGGAUUUUUAAACAAUUAUUUUAAUUAAAGAUGGAAAAAAAUUAAAAAUACAAGUUCUCAGAAAAAAAAAAACAAACUUCAAAAACACUGUGGUCAUUCUUUGAGCAGCCUUAAAUAUGGACAUGAUGUAUUUUCUGGUCCUGGGACACACCAGGGUCAGUGUGUUAUUUCAGAGGAGAAUCAGCUUGUCUGCAAGGACUGAGACCUAUGCAGCCAUUUCUGCUUAAAAACCACUUAAAAAUGGCUCUUCACAUGCAUUUCCAUAAUAAAGCACUUUGUAACUGUUACCCAAUUAUUGCUCAGAGCAUUAAGUAACAAGGUAUUUUACUCCAAUUUCACAGAAGGGAACAAAUCAUGGAAUCCGAAAAACUUAUUCUGCUUUUGCGUAGGCUUUCUCAUAUUAAUUAAUUAUGAGACUUAAUUACAUUCAAUCUCACCACCACUCCAAGCCAAUUACGGAAAACUGGGUAAAGUAAAGGAGCAGGGAAAUCUGUCUUGGAGACAGUCACUUACACUGACACCACUUUCCACACAGAUAUGUAAGGCAACUUUGCAAAUAUUGACUUGCCCCCUCGAAGCAUCAGGAUGGAUUUUUCUCUGAUUUUUCCCAACUGUCCCUCCAGCAGUAAUCUGAGCUGUGAUCACUUCUCCCAGCUUCCCCUCUCAACUCUGCCCCAGAAACCAAAUGCAAAUCUCUGCUCCCUGACUUGUGCCUUAAUCACAUGAUCACCUUCCUUCCCAGAAGCAGCAAAAAAAAAUCUCCAGGCAUGGAGUAAAAAAAAAAAAAAAUCACCAGAUGAGAAGAGCUCUAAUCCAAUGAUUUUAAGGGUUGCUCAAAAUUGAUAUAUUAGAUAGACAGACAGACAGAGAUACAUAGAUAGAUGCUACAAACUAUUUAGAGCUUUCUAUUUUUUUUUUUUUUUUGAAUCUACAGCAAUUUUAUUCACUGAAGCUUUUCCCACAAAGGGAAUGGUAAAUCCUCUAAAGCAUCACUUUAAAAGUUUUUCUUACAUUGGAGCAUCUAUGAUCACCCUCUGCUGAAACACUAAUUCACUAUUUCCCACAGCACUCAGCCACAGGGACUCACAACACAUUUCAAUGCCUUCAACAGCAGCAGCGUUCCACAGGGAACCAUUCUCCAAUUUCCAAGCCAAGGCUCUUACAAAGAUGGACUAAGCCAAGGCAAACUGGCCUUUUUAUAUUACUACCAACUGAUCCUCCCAUAAAAUGUGCACAUUUAAAACCAGAGGAGAAACAAGAGCAACUGUCUUUUGCAGUUUGUCUGAAGAGGGCCAUGAGCUCAAAUAAGUCUACUUUAUUAAAACUGGGGAGAGAUAUUGAGCAGACUGGAUUUUUUCUUCAUUUUUUUACUCUGUUUGCCAGUGAGCAAAGCCUUCUACAAAAGACUUUGUGAAUAAAGGUGUAAACGCAAGCGGAGGAGACUCCAUGCAUUUGUGACUUUGACUCCUCUGGAGCCAAGAUCUCACCCAGCCUUCACAGUUGUGACAAUUUGCGCUCAGCCUGGCCUGUUCCAGCAGAACACUCAGUCUGUGCUCGUGGCAAUCAUGCCUUGUUUGCAUCACACCGUGCCACGCGUGCCACGCGGGUUUCACACGCCGUCAUGCACCGCAGUUCAUUUGAAAUGCUCUCCAGUUCCCCAAGAGAGAGAGCCUCAUGGCGUGGCAGCAGGAUCCACUACAGCGGGAUCUGGCAGGCUGCAUUCGCAGGACUGCGUUGUAAAAUAAAUAAAUUAAUUAAAGGCAAAAUAAACAUUAGCAUUUUGACUGUUUCUUGCUGUUUUUCUAAAUAUUCUAAAGUAAAACAGAAAAUACUUUGCCGAGCCUGAAAAACCAAAGGAUUUUCAGAUGCAGUCAAAUGAGGCAGCUUUCAAACAUACAUCCUUCCAGCAAAGCAUUCCCCCUUCUUUGCCCAGUGAUAUUUCCACUAGGCUGGCAAAGGGCAGCUGCAGGGUAAAACGUUCAGAGGUAACCCGGCCACUCAAAAGACUGAGAUGGUCAAACCCUCACCUGAAUGAAUCCCCACCCCUAAGGACAGCUUCACCCUCUCCCAGGUAGCCUACUACAUCUCCUAAGGCCCACCCACCUUCACUCAGGCACAGAGGUGGGGGCAGGAUCUCCCUCUGGAAGCUUUCAGAAGCACACAGCUCUCUCCUCUGAAUAUACUGAUAAUUAGAAACUUUCAUGCCUAAGACUGGCUUACCAUGCACCAAAAAAUUCUGAAAUCAUUUCAGUACACAGUCCUCUUAAUUUGGUUCCCAUCUUCCCAGCUUCAGAACCGACACUUCCCGCCAAAUGGAAGUUACAAACUGAAUUGUUAAAACAAAUAUCAGCACAAACUCCGUGUUAAUGAGAACCAUGUCUCUUCCAUGCUUUCAAUGCUAACCCCUGAGAUUAAUUAUUAUAUUUAGUGUCUAGGACAGCAACACUUCCUACUCAGCACCUGUCAUGGGUCCAGCAAUUAAUUGCAUACCACUGACCUUCACAGAACACCAUGGAAAUUUUAUUACUGCACGACUCAAUUGCAGUUGUACAACACUGCCACAGAACUAUGUCUUAUUGCAAAAAAAAUCAUGCGCUCACAAAAGGCACAGUUGAGCCAACUGAACUAUUUAUAAUUUGCAGAAUAUAAAACAUUUCACAAGGUUUACAACAUACAUACACAAAAAAAAAAAAUUGCAGCCUUAAUACAAGACAAAUGUUACCAAGAUUCACGUUAUGGACAAAAGCAGAAUGGAAAAUAUUCCCCAAAGCCAUAAUGGCAGGGUUAUGUAGUAUGCUAUUUAAAAGCUAUUCACCAAUGUCUUCUUCCUGUUAGCCGGAGCUCUAUGGUGGAGAUUCGACUGAAGAAAACCAAUUAAUGAAAUUGUGGUUCUACAGCGGAGGGACUGGAUGUGUAAGACCAAGCAGAGGAAGGGAAGGACCACACUGGCACACCUGACCCAGUGCUAGGCCCAGGUCUGCCACCCUGGAGUUAUCUCUCUGCCAGCUUGCUGCUUUGAGGGGGCUACAUCCUACUCAUGUCAUGUUGCUGUGGCUUAACCCCAGCUGGCAAAUCCAAAACACAGCCCCACACCAACAUGGUAAAGAAAAUCCACUCCAUCCCAGCCGAGAGCAGCACCUCUGCCUUACUCUCCUCCAAGGAAAUGCUGCAACUCAGCACAUUUCUUCAAAGUUCCAGAGUCUCCUUGCUCCUCUCCAAACCAAAGGGUUCACAAAAUAAGUAAUUGCUGCAUGACUACUCUAAUUCCAAACUGGCAUGCUAAUGUCAGACCAGGUGGAAGUCAGGGCAAGCAGACUUUCUCCCUGGUUUCAAGGGCUGCGUCCAGGAUGAAAUAACUCGUCACGCCCAGAAUUCCAGCGCUGGCUUCCAAGUUCCCAGGCUCGAGUGACCCAGGCACAAACCUCUGCACUCACACAUCUGCACCUGCUGCAGACUCAGGCAGGGAAAGGGAUGGUGCAGGCAGCGUCUCAGGCUUUGUCAGAGGUGCACAUGUGCAAGAGCUGCUGUUUUCAUAGCUGGCACCGUCCUCGUGCCGGAGUGAUCGAUAGGCAGCAGGGCUCAGUGGGGCAAAACACCCAUCCCCUAAAGUCAAACCCUAGAGAGUACCAAGAGACAACCGUGGAGCAAACUGGAGACCACUGCUCAUGCAGUAUUUCAAUGGAAGUGUGAUAUCUCACUGAAUUUGCACCUCCCAAACCCCUUGUUUGAUUUUCCACAAGCAAUGAAAAAUGCUUCCUGCCGUGACAAAUUCCUCACAUCUCAGGCAAUGCGUUUCAUUUCACCAAAAUGCAGGUACUGCUGGGUUUACCACAUCAAUCCGGUUUCACAUCUUUUUUGGCUGAAGAUUUGCAAUCUCUGUGGCCAAUGACAGUAAGAUUACCUAGCAAACAAAGCUCACCAACAAUGCUUUGCUUUGAAGGAUCACCUACACAAGGAAUGGAUGAUAUUUGCAAGGCAAUUCAGGGCUCUGUGAUGGUUGAGAUUUUCUUGUGAGCGCUUUUUUUUUUUCCCUAAGAAGUUCAUUAAAAUUUUUCAGUUGAUACAAUAGAUUCUUCCAUCUCUUCAAUACAGCAGAGGAAAUGAAGUGAAACUAGCUUCAUUGUAAUGGAAAAGUGAUCUCAUAAUCUAAUUCACUUUGCUCCCUAAUCACAAAUGCUCAGAGAGCACAAGCUAAGGAAGGAAGGUGUAAAGUGAUGCUGCAACUUCGCUCCCACAAUUAAAAAUCUCCUUUCCUGAAGGAGUCUGGGUUGCAAACCAGAACGAAGCACACAUGGUAUUGAGAUUACUGAGAAGCUGUGGGCAAGGCUACGAUUCAGAGGCAAGAGCCCUGCUCUGUUUGAAACUAAAUCCAGAAUUCCCAUCGAUUUUGCUGACACCUUGGCUUAGAUAUUCGUGAGGCCUGAUCACAGAGCACAUUCAUACACAGAGAGGUGCCUGCAAUGGCUUGCUAUACAGCCUGAUGCAAAAAAUGAAUGCAAAGAUGACAGACAAGCCUCCCCUCUCCCAGCCAGCAAAGCUUUUAUUGCCACCUCUUCAACACUUUCACCUCUGCCAGAAGUCCCCUCUGCCCGCCUGGCCCCUCCAGCUGUCCAAAGUGUCUCCUCCAGACUGCACUGCUGAGCAGGCAGAGCGUGGAUUAAACAGUAUUACGUGUUCUUUCUGUCAUUCUGUUUCCAGCAAUUCAGAAAAUCACUUUUCUCCUUGUGGAUAUUUUUCAAUAAGGCAAGGGAGAUGUUACAGGAAAAAAAAAAAUCUCCAAGAUCAGAAUAUAUCAGAAACUUGAGAAUACUUAGAAUACUUAACGUGUCAUUGUGACCAUGAAGAUGUACAGAAACACACACACACAAUUAAAGUCAAGUAUUUCAGAGGAGGUUUAAAAAAAUAAAAUAUGUUCAACAGGAAGAGUCUGUUUAAUGUAGGAUUUAAGCAAGGCUCUUCCAUUUGCAUAGAUCACUUACAGCAGCAGCAAUUCAUUAAAUUCUCCCAUAAAAUCAUGCUAUAUUUUGUCUAAAGUGACAGAUUCCUUGCAGAUCACAGUGCCUUUCUCAUGCUGCUAAUAAGAUAAUCUGUUACAUGAGGCUUACAAAUCCAUUUAAAUUGAUUUUAAUUAAUGAAUCAAUCACUAGCCACUGAUGACUUGGUCUACAGACAGCAAGCAAUUCAAAGCCCCAGGCUUCUAAUCCAAAAGCAAAAUCCACAUUAGAGCAACAGGACAUCUCUCUGAUCGAUGGCAGCACAAAGAUGUUCAGUUCAUACACAUUUAAAGUGUAUGAACUUGAUCAAAAUGUAUCUCCAGAUCUUAUGCAUUACAAUUCCCAAAUUCAGGACUGUUCAACUAGAAAAGCAAUAUUAAAUCAUUUACAUUUCUUUGCAAGGGGAAAAAAUUAAAUCAAGCACAACUAUAACCUGAUUCCAAACUUUAGAUGCUUAUUCCACUUGAGGGUUUCUCCCUUUGUUCUUCUUCCCCGAGUUAAACAAUCUGUUGUUUAACAUUAAUUAACAGAAAAUUGCACUUCUUAUGAUCACAACCACGAACAAUUCUUUUUACAUUUGCUUUGGUGCUGUGAAAAGCCACUGCUGUUCUCCACUGCUCAAGUGCUUACAGUUUCCCUCAAACAGAAAACAGGAAAGAAGUGAGAUUUCUGUCCCAAAAUCAGCAAGCAGAAGCAGCGGGAAGAACAUCCUUGUUAUUGUAGUAAGUUAAUUAUUAUAAUUAUUGUUAUUACAAGGAGUUAAUUACGAUGCAGCAAGCUAAACCCGCAGUGGGCGGUGUGGUGCCCAGCACCGCAAUCCCCGGAGCACCAGCAUCAGGCUCCACGGCACGGGGACACACCUGAGGGACGGAGCCUUCCCAAACAGCCCCUGCGACUCCAGCAGCCCGGGAAGCAGCCCAGGGAAAGGAAGGAACGGUGCAUGCCUCCCCAGGAUCCUCCCGCAGGCAUGCAAGCAUCUCCCAGAGCAGCGUGGCAGAGGAGGAAGGGGAGACAGGCCAGCUUGCCCCCCAAAGGCUCAUGCUCCUGCAGCUCCAGUGAGCUUGCUAAGGCUGCGGGGCACUGCCCAGCCCCAUGCCCACCUCUCUGCGUGGCUGGGCUGGGGCUGCCCCCGCUCCUCAGCCCCACAGCAAACCCUGCCCCCAGAAGCAGAGCAGGAGGCACCUGGAGAUCACUCCAAACUCCCUGGAGCAGAGGAGCUGCUGCUGGGAAUUGCAGUCACGGAGCAGUUACACUGGCUUUGAGUUCUUCGAACGCUCUCUGCGCCACUGGCAUCCCUUUGAAUAUUCUGAGAGGAAUCCUGAUCCCUCAAAUUCGACAAAGCAGCUUGCUCGGAUGCUCACUGUCAUGCCAAAAAUCCCAGUUCUGCCUGUUUAAAAGAAGAGCUCUGCAUCUGUUUUUAACCAAUUCUGCAUAUACAGCUUAACUAACCCUGUCAAAAGUAGACUUUCUUUUUUUAAUGUAGUACCUACAAAUCUCUUGCUCUCAAUACUCUUUAUUCUUCCUGGUUUGUUAAAAGAAAAUGAUAUUUUGGGGGGGGAAGAAUAAAAAGAAUAAUUAAAGAAGGUGGGUUUGGCCCUUAUGUGCUGCUAAUUAAUUAGAGUUAAAUUAACCAAAUAAUAAGUACAAGAUACCAAACUAUCUUUCAUAAUAUUUAAGAAAAGCAUAAAAGGUUGAGCACUUUCCAGGUGUAAAUACAUUAAGAUCAACGUUGUACCAAGCCUGAAUCUGGUCCCAUUAGCUCCAAAAGGUAAAUAGUUCAUCCCCUUGCACAGAUGUCAGAGCAUACAGGCACUCCAAGUUUAAAGGACAUUUUCUGCAGCCAACAAUGCUGCACUGACACAGAGACAAUCAAUGUGUCCUUGAUUAUGAGGAGGCAAACAGUUUUCACUGAAAAAAAAAAAAAGAAAAGGAAAAAAAAAGAGAGAGAGACUGAAAACAAAUCAUGUGUUUUUAUUUUAUAGGUUCCAAGUUGGGGUUGGGUUUUCUUCAAGCCCUUUUGGAGCGCUGAAACAGAAUAAAAAUAGCUUGUUGCACAAGCAUAAAACAAAGUAACUGCUAAAUAAACAUUUUAAAUUUACUCCUAUGCGCUCAGUUCUCACUCCCAUUAGUCUUCAGGAGCUGGAUGAUUUCACAAAAAUAUCUUCCUGUUUUCUGGAAAACUGAUUAGAUGGGCUUUGUCCAAGAAUUGUCCCAUAAUGUGUUCCCUUUAUUUCACAUGCUGACUGUGACUGCUGGAAAAUGCACUGCAGCACAGAACGCAGUAUAUGCCAGUGCAUCCUGACAUUCAAAUCAAGACCACAAAUUAUAAACAGUUUCAGCAAAUUGACUCGAGUGCCUUUGUUCCUCAGACAUACAUCUUCCUAUUGCUUACAAAAGCAGCAUAUACUAACCACGAGCGCUGCUAUAGCCAGGGCUGGGAAAGGAAGUUAUUGAAGCCUGGAUUUCCUGCUUUCAGCCCAAGCCAAGAACUGCGAGGCUUGUAGUGGUUUCAGGAACUGACUCAUCUAAUGAUUCAUGGAUAAGAUACUGGUUUUAAUAUAUUUCUGAUCAUAAGACUCAAACUUCAAAAACAGUGAUGCUUAGUUUUUAUUUUAAAGUAAAAAAAAAGAAAGAGGUUCAUAAAUCGAACAAACAAAUAUUGUCAUGGGACAAAUGAGCUAAUAAUUAUUAAUGUGUUUUACAGCGAACUCUGUUUUUAAAAAAUGGUGUGUUAAACAUCCUGGAAAUUCAUUUCAAGAGAAUGCUGACAAUUGAAUUAAAAAUCCACUGUCAAAAACUUGAGUGCUUUCACUGCAGUCCUGACAGAGCUGAAGUCCAAGUGGAGAGCAGCUGGGAUAUCAGUGCAUUGUUAGAGAUACCCUUAGGUACAGGUAUGGCUGCUACACCCUAGCCAAUGAAUCCUGGAGCUGCCAUUGUCAAUGCACCCGGUGGCUCUAGCCGUGGACAGAAAGAAUCACCAGAGACUGGCUGCUAACAAACAGUCAGGGCAGUUUUGUUUCAAGAGUGACUCAAACUGCCGAGGUCAAUCCUAAAGCAAUGACUAACACGGUGCUCUCUCUCUCACACACACACCCCCCCGCAUUUUGUGCUAAUUCAGAAUUCAAGCCCAGCCGUUUUUAUGCACCGAGCUCUUCCAGAGGAAAGCACGCCUUCCAGAGCAUCAAAACCCUUUUUGCCCACAACACAAAUCUCAUCAGUAUGCUGUAACUUGAACUGCCAGGCUCCUGCACCUAAAAAAUAGCUGGUGAUGGAAGCUGAAUUCUGCCAGGCUCAUGUAUGGAAAAGUACUGGUUUACUUUUUAAUUUCUGAACGGCGAGCUGCAGCCGCUCGCGCCCUCGUGCAGCACGGUGGGGACGCAGGGGGACGCUGGCAUUUCUGUACCUCACCCCCGCGCGCAGCUAGCAAGGGGGGGAAGAGAAAGAAAGCAAAAUGCAUCUUGCUCAGAGGAAAAUAAAAAAGAAAAGCAAAGAAAAAAGCAGCAGUUAAAACACUUGACAAGAAAAGGCCAAAGUGCGCUCCGUGGCUGGCAGUCAUUUUAUGGCUGUAGUCCUACAGCAGAUUUACUUAGAUGACGUCAGUGGCUCCAAUCCAGCUUUUCUUUGGUAGCAUUUACCACUUGCCUCUUGAAGCCUCCACUAUGCUACAGAGCAGUAGACCAUAAUCAAAAUUCCCUUUGUGAAAUAGAGUUUACCUCAGGGCACAGAGGCAUUGCAAGCUGAAUUGCAGGCUCUUCACCCUGUACUGCAUGCCCAGAAAUAAAUAACCUACAAUACUGUGCUCUCCUUAAUACAGAAGAACCAUUAAAAGCAGCCUGCUACCUAAAAAAGGGUUCUUUAAUUUGUUUCCAAAAUCUCAGAAGCCAGAAUAUUAGUUAAUUUUCCAAGCAACCAAGAACCGUAAUAAUUCUAGUACCCUUUGGACUUCUUCAUAUUGUUUUUAGAGAUUUUGGAUGAUGAAGUUAUUUACGGGUCACUGUUUCACCAGUAAAAAAUUAUUACUAAUGCUAGGGGCUAAAGCAAAUCUGUAUAGGAAGCUGCAUAUUUACAAGUGUCUUCCAAAUGCCCCCCUUCAACUGCUUAUCUACAGCUGCUCAGUAAGCAUACAGCAAAUAUGCCAAGAAGCAGAGCAAGAAAUUACUGUGCAUAAGUAAUAGUCAAUUUAAUGAUCAAAAUGCGCAUUAUUUGGAGCUGUGCAUUUCCUAUCACAAAGCAGUGGCUGAAACCAGUGGAACACCAGUGAAGCCAAGUUGAGGAGAUACCAAGUAAACCAGAACUUCACAGGCUCUGGAGUUUAAUCAAAAUGACCCCCACAAAGAUGUGUCCUGUGGUACUGAAUAAACAUGGAUUUGUUAUGUUUUAAGGGAGCCAGCAAUCCAAAGACAGCCAUACCCAUCAUGGGUGUAACUAGAUACAUUAGUGAACUGAAAACUGCCUCUCACAGUCAGGCACUUAGAAACAACUCACAGGGAAGAUGCACAUGCGCCUCAGAGAGCUGAAAGGCUCAAGAGCCCUCCUUUCCCAGGGUCUCUGCUUCCCUUGCCCCUAAUCACACCAGGAUGAGAGAUCACAGCUCUGACCUGCAAUGGGCCAGAAGCCAAAAAGCGCUGCUGUCACCAAACUGCACGAGUCACACCAGGGACCUCAACUCUAAAUCUGAAUUCAAAACAGAUUUAAAAUGCGGGGGCAACCCCCAAACCAGCUGGAAGUGGAUGGACACACACAUUUCAUGUCCCUGCAGAGAAACCAGAAGCCCUCUAGCAGCCUCAGAUGCCAAGCCAAGGGCAGGGGAGCCUUUCUGCAGGUGCCAGCAUCAGCUGAGGCAGAGCAGCAAGGGGGGAGCAUCACCUCUCGUUUCACUGCCCACCCCGUUGGCCCCCGGGUGCUUUGUCAGCUCCUGCCUUCCUCCAGGCAGUUCAUCUGGGUGGACUUCAGUGGAAAGGCAGAGCGGCCACCGCUCAAAUUGUUCACAUUUCUCUGCUUCGAAUGCAGAAGAAUUUACUUCUCUUUGCUAAAAAAAAAAGUGUUGUCAGCAAACAGCUUCAGAAGAUGACUGCAGAUUUCUCUGAGAGAGAAUCUAAGUCCUUUCCUUGGUCAUUAAGGACUUGGACAUGAAAGGCAUGGCCAGCACAAGUGGCCCUUUCUUUCCAAUCUCCAGGGCAAGGAAGGGCUGGGAGCAGCAGGAAAGGGACCCCACAGUGGCACCCCGUCCAUGAGCAGCAGCAGAGGACACGGGAAGGAGCACCUGGCCAGCCGGACUGCAGAGGGAGAGAAACAAAAAAACCACAGGGAUCCAAGGGCAGGAGAGCUCAACCAAGAGCAAGGAUGUGUUCCCAAGGAGCGAGGAGGGUCCCGGCGGCCAGGGACAGCCGCGGUGCCUGCAAGGCACAGCCAGCCCCAGCCUGUGGGGCAGGAGACACAGGAAUGCGCUGCAAGGUCACGGAGCAGCACAGGCACAUCCAGCCCUAAGGACACCACAGAGGCACUGAAUGGAAGACUGUAUUUAUGGCUGGAAACUCCUCCUGCUACAAAAUAAUUACUCCUAAAGAAAGGCAGGGCUAGGGGGAAGAUGAAGGAACUUCCAGUGACUCUUCCAGUCUUCUUGUCUUUCAGUUGAUCGUGGAAAAAGCAGGGGGGACGAAAAUCUUCAAAGAUCAGCUGACAGCAGAUGUAGGGACAUGACUGUUUUUAAAGGUUUUUUUUUUUUUUUUUUUUUGAAAGAAUGAAGGUAAAACCAGGGAUGUGGAAACUGUUUACAGAGUUUUGCUUUUUUAUUUUAAGCUGUAAACCACCUUUAGAACAAAAAAAAAAAGUUUGCACUGAUAUUUCCCUUUUCCCCAUGAACUAUGGUACCAGAUUACCAUAUUUUUUAAUUGAUAAACACAUAGCAGAAGCUUUAAUCCCCUAAACCUCUACGAAUUUACCUUUUCUUCCAAAGUCUGUUCUGACAUUUUCUCCCCUCAAAACCAAAAUGUCAUUCCUGAAUUAUAAUCUCCCAACAGAAAGACAGCCAUGUAAAAAGAAAAAAAAACAACCAUGCCAACUAAUUCCAAAAAAAAAAAAAACCACUGCUGUUCGCAGCACCAUGAGGUGAAUGCCUGGUGAGAGAUUCCACCAAGGGAAUAAUUGUGAUGUCUAUAAUGUUAAGGAAUAAUUCAGCACCAAAAGUACCCAAGGCCAUGCUGGUUGGCGAUUCAAACACGAAGCAUAUCAAAACACUACUGAUAAGCUAAAUUAACAGAUAGCUUAUCUGAAGCAUAUACUGGCCAUAUGGUGCCACAACUUCUGUUGCCUGUUGCUGGCAUAACAAUAGGCUACUGCAGUCUUAGACUGGAAGCACUAUUUGACAAACUGUCAACAGCAUUUUUAUUUUUUCUGCAGAGCUCUAGGGCAAUGGCACACUCGCCUAUUUGCAUUUUUUUUUAAACAGGUGAACAAAGAGUAAACCAGAUGUCGACUUUAGAAAUCGAGCUGUCUGGAUCAGGAGAUUUAACAGAGGCAGGCAUACUGCUACAGCUCAAAUCUAGACAAUGAGCUUUUCUAAAAACACUCUGGCCUAGGGGAGUGGCUAUUUAAAACACUUGGCUUCUUUUAUUUCAGCACUAUGGAAGUGAAUUCUACUCUUAAGUGCCAGCCCAAAUGAAGUCAUUUUGUUUCACUGGGGCUUUCUUUGCAUUUCAGAAAUGUAGCAUGUACUGUAGUAACGGAAAAGACCAAAAAAUGGUGGGGAGUGUGUGAUGUGGAAACCAGCAAUUCGAUCACAUUAAAAAAAAAAAAAUACAACUUUGAAAGGACAACUAAAGUGCAACUUACAUGAAAUUUACUUUUCCUUCUCAAACAAAAAAACCCCAAAAAAACCCCAAAAAAACCCCCAAACAAAUCAACACAACCAAAACAAAACUAACAACAAAAAAUAAAACCCAAACCACUUCUGGGUGCUUUAGAAAAACCUGAUAUUUACAGCCCCCUCCAGUUCCACAAAGACAAGCAAAACUGCAAGGGGACCUGAAUAUGUUACAGAAACACAUUAAUACCAAAAGUAUCGUGAAAGUUGUCUUCCUGCUUCAUUAAAAAAAAAAUAAAUCUUACUAUCUGAGGAGAAAUAAUGCUUUCAUAACAACACAGUGAUCUACUCAAUCAUUACAAAAAUUGACAAAAUAAAAACUACUGUCAAUCAAUACAUAGUAGGUCUGUCUAUGAUAUUCAAUUAUGAAAAUGUGCUUUUAGCUGUGUACUGUAUGAGUGUGAAAGACAUAAUGAGAAAAAUAGAUAACUUUCUGUUCUAAUAAUCUGUUCUGCUUUGAUAGGCACUUAUGGGAACAUAUUUAUUUUCUGACUUAUACCCAGCAAAGUAUGUAGCAUUUUUAGACUAUCUUUUCAAAUUGUUCUUGAACAUUCUCAGUU